UGCUGAUGUAUUGAGGUAUUUCUAUGUACAAACAUUACUAUUGGAUGGAACCCUUGCUUAAAUACCGCAUAUUGUAAAUUACCUUUUUACAAAAGCUGUCCAUUUUUACAAACUCUAAAGAUGUUGACCUAUAUUCAUUAAAUCUCAAUUCCUUAUCAUGUAGGUCGAUAAUGAUUGACCGUGACCUUAAGGAACUCAAUGCCAUAAGAAGAGUUUUUCCAACAGCCAAGGUUCUUCUUUGCUGGUUUCAUGUACUCCAGGCUGUACAUAGGUGGAUGGUUAAAAGAGAUGGAGGAAACUUGCCAGUGAAUCAGUGGAAUCUUGUGAUUCAAGCAAUGGUUGGAAUGAAAUCCUGUUUAACGGAAGAAGAGUUCAACAGCAUGUCAUCCAGAAAGUGUGAAGAGCUCG
Carassius gibelio (silver crucian carp) is the source of this 408-nucleotide long non-coding RNA. RefSeq lists it as uncharacterized. The record is from RefSeq and is a predicted model, not a curated record. The transcript has 3 exons. NCBI's taxonomy places the organism in Eukaryota, Metazoa, Chordata, Actinopteri, Cypriniformes, Cyprinidae.